AAUCAACGCUGGCGGCGUGCCUCAGACAUGCAAGUCGAACGAUUAAAGCUCCCUUCGGGGAGUGCAUAGAGUGGCGCACGGGUGAGUAACACGUAAGUAAUCUACCUUUGAGUGGGGAAUAACACCGAGAAAUCGGUGCUAAUACCGCAUAAUGCAGCGGCAUCGCAAGAUGACAGUUGUUAAAGAUUUAUCGCUUGAAGAGGAGCUUGCGGCAGAUUAGCUAGUUGGUAAGGUAAUGGCUUACCAAGGCUACGAUCUGUAACCGGUCUAAGAGGACGGUCGGUCACACUGACACUGAAUAACGGGUCAGACUCCUACGGGAGGCAGCAGUCGGGAAUUUUGGGCAAUGGGCGAAAGCCUGACCCAAGCAACGCCGC
Molecule: ribosomal RNA, 377 nt
Filed under: uncultured bacterium
Lineage: Bacteria
Description: bacterial SSU rRNA
Rfam family: Bacterial small subunit ribosomal RNA
Source: RNAcentral